CCGGGGAGAGAUGGAAAUAAUUUCUUCGACCACUCGGCCGCAGACCUGAUCUCUCUCUAGUGUGAUCAGGCUAAGUCAUUCAGACAUUUCUCGUUGGCACCAUGUAUGUAUUUCUCGUCGAAAUCCCAACUCAUCUCCCAUUUUUUAGGAGAUGCUUGCCUCUGGAAUGGAUGCCGAGGUUCACAAAACUAGCAACAAGCCUGAACGAGACUUGAAAGGCUUUGAAUUGAAAGAUGUUUGAACACCUGCUGCAGUGGCUUCGCCGGCUCAGGUACGCCCAGCUACCAUCAAUGCUGUGGGUAUUACUGUUUGUAAUGGAGAUCUUGUGAAUGGAUGUUCUGAAAUGGAUGGCUGUAUGGACCUUAAUGCUUCUAUGGAAGCUCACAACAAGUAUGUGGAAAUGCUAAAUGCAGCCAUUAAUAAUACCUCCAAAUCUGAGAACUGCA
Dendrobium catenatum is the source of this 446-nucleotide long non-coding RNA. RefSeq lists it as uncharacterized. NCBI's taxonomy places the organism in Eukaryota, Viridiplantae, Streptophyta, Magnoliopsida, Asparagales, Orchidaceae. The transcript has 2 exons. The record is from RefSeq and is a predicted model, not a curated record.